AUGAACCAGCCGGUGCAGAAGAACACCCCCUACAUAGGUACACGGUGGGAGGAGGGGGAGAGAAGAUCGUGCAUGCGGUGUUCGUGCUGUUCAGGGAGAUCAAGGCCGCUCGACCAGGCCACGCAGAAGCACUGCUCCUUUGGGUUCUUCACGUUCCUGGAGCGCGAGAACACCGCCACCGCCAUGGACAACAUGGAUGGCGCCGAGUUCUUCGGCCGCGUCCUCACCGUGAACUACGCCUUCCCUGAGAAAAUCAAGGGAGGGGAGCAGGGAUGGGCCGCGCAGCCAGUUCAAAUU
RNAcentral lists this ribosomal RNA (297 nucleotides) under Triticum aestivum (bread wheat). RNAcentral describes it as "partial small subunit ribosomal RNA". Lineage: Eukaryota; Viridiplantae; Streptophyta; Magnoliopsida; Poales; Poaceae. The record is from RNAcentral.